UACGGGGGGGGGCAAGCGUUGUUCGGAAUUACUGGGCGUAAAGGGCGCGUAGGUGGCCUUCUAAGUUGAACGUGAAAUCCCUGGGCUCAACCCAGGAACUGCGUCCAAGACUGGGAGGCUUGAAUCCGGGAGAGGGAUGCGGAAUUCCAGGUGUAGCGGUGAAAUGCGUAGAUAUCUGGAGGAACACCGGUGGCGAAGGCGGCAUCCUGGACCGGUAUUGACACUGAGGCGCGAAAGCCAGGGGAGCAAACGGG
This 254-nucleotide ribosomal RNA is filed under the name uncultured bacterium. RNAcentral describes it as "partial 16S ribosomal RNA". It matches the Rfam family "Bacterial small subunit ribosomal RNA", at positions 524 to 776 of the family's 1533-position model. The record is from RNAcentral.